AGCGCAGUAGGGAUCUUCCGCAUGGACGAAAGUCUGACGGAGCAACGCCGCGUGAGUGAUGAAGGUUUUCGGAUCGUAAAACUCUGUUAUUAGGGAAGAACAAAUGUGUAAGUAACUGUGCACAUCUUGACGGUACCUAAUCAGAAAGCCACGGCUAACUACGUGCCAGCAGCCGCGGUAAUACGUAGGUGGCAAGCGUUAUCCGGAAUUAUUGGGCGUAAAGCGCGCGUAGGCGGUUUCUUAAGUCUGAUGUGAAAGCCCACGGCUCAACCGUGGAGGGUCAUUGGAAACUGGGAAACUUGAGUACAGAAGAGGAAAGUGGAAUUCCAUGUGUAGCGGUGAAAUGCGCAGAGAUAUGGAGGAACACCAGUGGCGAAGGCGACUUUCUGGUCUGUAACUGACGCUGAUGUGCGAAAGCGUGGGGAUCAAACAGGAUUAGAUACCCUGGUAGUCCACGCCGUAAACGAUGAGUGCUAAGUGUUAGGGGGUUUCCGCCCCUUAGUGCUGCAGCUAACGCAUUAAGCACUCCGCCUGGGGAGUACGACCGCAAGGUUGAAACUCAAAGGAAUUGACGGGGCCC
This 580-nucleotide ribosomal RNA is filed under the name Staphylococcus sp. Its description in RNAcentral is "bacterial SSU rRNA". It matches the Rfam family "Bacterial small subunit ribosomal RNA", at positions 348 to 921 of the family's 1533-position model. The record is from RNAcentral. Lineage: Bacteria; Bacillati; Bacillota; Bacilli; Caryophanales; Staphylococcaceae.